Lontra canadensis (Northern American river otter) is the source of this 266-nucleotide long non-coding RNA. RefSeq lists it as uncharacterized. The transcript has 2 exons. Lineage: Eukaryota; Metazoa; Chordata; Mammalia; Carnivora; Mustelidae. The record is from RefSeq and is a predicted model, not a curated record.
CUUAGACCUUCUGGUCCCUUCCACCAUUGCCUUAGAGAAACCCUCUUCUUGGAACUACUCAACAGGUAGAAUCAUGGAAAAUCAAGGUGGGGAAACACUCAACCAUCAUAUGGCCAAUUCCUCCAACUGACACCUGAACUCUUGUAUGACAUUUCUGCCCAGUCAUUGUCUAGCCUCUGCCAGAACGCCUCUAGGGGCAGAAAGCUGUCCCAACAUUACUUAUUCUUCUUUGGAAUAGAAUAACAGCAAAACAGAUGGAACAGGUA